AAGAGCAGCCAUCAGAGGAAUAUCCCAGCCCAGUGGGUUCAAAUCCACCUUCUACCAGGCGUAAAAAGGGGGAGGAAGAAACAUCCCCUGGGGCUGGGAAACUGUCAGGGACAGUGACAUCACAGGGAAAACCACCAACCAAGGCCUAGGAGACCAGAGGGGGUGGAGUUGGGGGGCAGGGCUGCCUUGGAGCAUCUAAGGGGAGGUAGGGCUCCCUGCUCCCUCUUGUGGGGGUGCUCCUGAGUCUGUAGGUGCUGCCAAGACUGUGACAUCACAGGGUCUCCUUCCUUCGGCUACUAAGGACCAGAUGCCCCACUGGGAGAGGCCUCAGCCUGGCCCGGACCCUGCCAUGCACAGCAGGCUCUUCUGCUGGGUGAUCUUUGGUCUCCUGGGAGUAGGACACACAGAACUUGGAGUCAGCCAGAGCCCUCACCACUAUGUCACAGCGCUGGGACAGAACGUGACUCUGAGGUGUGACCCCAUUCCUGGUCAUUUGUACCUCUCUUGGUAUCGACAGACCCCAGGAAAGGGGAUGGAGUUUCUGAUUUCCUUCUAUAACAAAGCGCCUUCAGAGAAGGCAGACUUUUUGAAGGAUCGCUUCUCAGCUGAGAUGCCUAAUGGCUUGCACCUCACUCUGAAGAUCCAGCCUGUGCAGCCGGGUGACUCAGCCAUGAUCCUCUGUGCCAGCAGUGUAACCACAGCCCUGCAGAGACACUUCCUGCCCUUCCACAAACUCUGCAGCUUCUCUGCACUCCCCAGGCUCUCAGCAGCCCGGCCCUGCCCACGGGAGGGUGGGUGCUGGUGCAGGGGCGAGGGGCUGGGCUGGGCUGCAGCUGCUUCCCAGUAG
Molecule: non-coding RNA, 847 nt
Organism: Vicugna pacos (alpaca)
Lineage: Eukaryota; Metazoa; Chordata; Mammalia; Artiodactyla; Camelidae
Source: the annotation of a RefSeq genome assembly